GAUGAACGCUGGCGGCGUGCCUAAUACAUGCAAGUCGAGCGAACAGAUGAUGAGCUUGCUCCUCUGACGGUAGCGGCGGACGGGUGAGUAACACGUGGAUAACCUACCUAUAAGACUGGGAUAACUUCGGGAAACCGGAGCUAAUACCGGAUAAUAUAUUGAACCGCAUGGUUCAAUAGUGAAAGACGGUUUUGCUGUCACUUAUAGAUGGUUCCGCGCCGCAUUAGCUAGUUGGUAAGGUAACGGCUUACCAAGGCAACGAUGCGUAGCCGACCUGAGAGGGUGAUCGGCCACACUGGAACUGAGACACGGUCCAGACUCCUACGGGAGGCAGCAGUAGGGAAUCUUCCGCAAUGGGCGAAAGCCUGACGGAGCAACGCCGCGUGAGUGAUGAAGGUCUUCGGAUCGUAAAACUCUGUUAUUAGGGAAGAACAAAUGUGUAAGUAACUAUGCACGUCUUGACGGUACCUAAUCAGAAAGCAACGGCUAACUACGUG
Molecule: ribosomal RNA, 497 nt
Filed under: uncultured bacterium
Lineage: Bacteria
Description: partial 16S ribosomal RNA
Rfam family: Bacterial small subunit ribosomal RNA
Source: RNAcentral